UAGCUACAAACCAAGAACAACAAGAAACACACUUUCAUUAGGGACUUGGUUCAGGUGAAACACUUCAGCUGAGAAGUCGUGUGAUACCUUGAUGGUGGAAUCCAUGUAGAUGUCUAAGUCCAGAAAAUGCCUACUGUACCAUGCUGGAACUUAAAUCUUUUGCUACUGGGAUGUUGUUCUUGGUCAGGUAUGUGAUGGGAUUGACAACAAUUGAGCCACUCACCACAGGACUGCUGACACCGGUGCUGUCGAGACACUCGCUAUGCUGAGAUGCCCAUACCAGUAUCUAGCCUGCCUGAUGUUCAUCCAAAAGAGUGGUACAACAAUAACUCACAACAAUAAAAAAUAUGUAGUUUUAGUCCCCUAAAGGUGACACCCAGGAGGAUUAUAGCUUCCCUCUCUGUCUGUCUGUAUAUGUACAUAACGUGCGUAACACCAAAGUUUGUCAGCGCUCUAGUGGCUUCAUUCAUU
Long non-coding RNA from Pecten maximus, 471 nucleotides. RefSeq lists it as uncharacterized. The record is from RefSeq and is a predicted model, not a curated record. The transcript is spliced from 3 exons. Lineage: Eukaryota; Metazoa; Mollusca; Bivalvia; Pectinida; Pectinidae.